This 888-nucleotide ribosomal RNA is filed under the name Acanthopharynx micans. RNAcentral describes it as "SSU rRNA". It matches the Rfam family "Eukaryotic small subunit ribosomal RNA", at positions 76 to 966 of the family's 1831-position model. The record is from RNAcentral. Lineage: Eukaryota; Metazoa; Nematoda; Chromadorea; Desmodorida; Desmodoridae.
UUAUGGUGAAGCCGCGAAUGGCUCAUUACAACAGCCGUUGUUUCUUGGAUCUUGUUUUACUUGGAUAACUGUGGUAAUUCUAGAGCUAAUACAUGCAAGCAAGCUCUGACCUUCCGGGAGGAGCGCAUUUAUUAGACCAAGACCAAUUAGGCUUCGGCCUACCAGUCUGGUGACUCUGAAUAACUUUGCUGAUCACACGGUCUUUGCACCGGUGACAUAUCUUUCAAGUGUCUGCCCUAUCAACUGUCGAUGGUAGUUUAUGUGCCUACCAUGGUCGUAACGGGUAACGGAGAAUAAGGGUUCGACUCCGGAGAGGGAGCCUGAGAAAUGGCUACCACAUCCAAGGAAGGCAGCAGGCGCGCAAAUUACCCACUCUCAGCUCGAGGAGGUAGUGACGAAAAAUAACGAGACGGUUCUCUUUGAGGCCCGUCAUCGGAAUGGGUACAAUCUAAACCCUUUAACGAGGAUCUAUUGGAGGGCAAGUCUGGUGCCAGCAGCCGCGGUAAUUCCAGCUCCAAUAGCAUAUACCAAUUCUGCUGCUGUUAAAAAGCUCGUAGUUGGAUCUUUCCCAUCGGGCUCGGUCUGUCUAAUGGACUAGUACCGAGGCUCGAGGGUUCAGCCUUGCUGGUUUGCUCAUGGUGCUCUUCAUUGAGUGCCUUGGGUGGCUAGCACGUUUACUUUGAAAAAAUUAGAGUGCUCAAAACAGGCGUUACAGCCCGAAUAGUGGUGCAUGGAAUAAUGGAAUAGGACCUCGGUUCUAUUUUGUUGGUUUUAGGAGCGUGAGGUAAUGAUUAAGAGGGACAGACGGGGGCAUUCGUAUUGCGGCGUUAGAGGUGAAAUUCUUGGAUCGCCGCAAGACGAACAACUGCGAAAGCAUUGCCAAGAAUG